Molecule: non-coding RNA, 750 nt
Organism: Callithrix jacchus (white-tufted-ear marmoset)
Lineage: Eukaryota; Metazoa; Chordata; Mammalia; Primates; Cebidae
Source: RefSeq, a predicted model, not a curated record
CACCAAACACAACCUAGGACUUCUCUCCAUAGGAGGCACCUAACUUCAUCUUUCACUGAGUAGAAGUGAUGGGAGCUUUUGGGCUAGAGUGUCUGAGGCAAGCAUGGUGAAGCCAGGAUGACUUUUGCUUCACUGAUACAGACAUGGAGACGAGCAUUUUGAUGUAUACAGGAACAACCCUGACACACUUGUGUCCUAGUCUCGGUUUAACUACUGUGCUCAUCAGAGACAGACACCUGGGGAUCUACUCACAGGGUUGUCGUGAAGCUCAGUUAACUGGAAAUCUGGACACCUGACAAAACUUGUGGGUCAAAAGGACUAAAGAGAAUAUCAAACAAAAAACACCAGUGCUACAUGGAAUAAAAAAUCUUUCCCGAUUUAAGAAUGAUCAAAUUGAAGCUCAUGACUACACACAGAGAAAGAAAACACCCUUAUAACAGAGCCUAACACAGACAAAAUGCUGUUUGUGGAAUCACUUUUAUUAAACUAUGUACCUUGAAACGUUACAGUAUUCAUUAAAAUCUAGACAUGUUAUUAACCCUCUGUGCCAGCAGAAAUAUUACCUGUAUCUAUGAGUCUCAAUGGGAGCAUUCAAAAUUGAGCAGAGUAUUUUUAAUUGUCACAGUGCCUCGGGAGCACUGCUAGUACUAAGUGACCUUUACACUAAGGAAGUUACGUGAUCUGCAAUGCAACAGCACUGCACAGAAAAGGACUGUCCCAGCAAGAGCAUCUCCGCUGAGAAACAAUAUU